Oncorhynchus keta (chum salmon) is the source of this 2692-nucleotide RNA transcript. It is a transcript of the gene named CDP-diacylglycerol--glycerol-3-phosphate 3-phosphatidyltransferase, mitochondrial-like, with no coding region annotated. The record is from RefSeq and is a predicted model, not a curated record. Lineage: Eukaryota; Metazoa; Chordata; Actinopteri; Salmoniformes; Salmonidae. The transcript is spliced from 11 exons.
UGAAAUAAUGUGGACACAUAGAUUUCUGUAAUCCAGAUUCUGCCCUCAACUAAAUUUGGAUUUAUAAUCCAGCUGUACCCCGAUGCACAGACGUUGAACGUUGUGUGCAGAACAUUUUGUGCAUGUGAGGUGCGGAUGUCCUUGUUUCGUUUCAAUUUGCUGAUAAAGUUGGGUUGAUUGAAACGGAUGUCAUGAUGGCGGCCCCCAUGUCGUGGAGGAAGCUUGUGUACUCACCGGUCCUCACCGGGGUUUUCACCCGAAUAUCAGACCGAUUGUUCCGCACACGGGAUCGGAGGAGAGGGUCAUCCGUGUUGCUCUUAGCCCCUCUCCUAGCGGAGGCAGACCCUUCUCCCCGUCCUGUCGUCGGGUCCCCUGGGUUGGCUGAAGUUCAGGGCACCGAUGGCCUCCGUGCCCACUUCCGCUGGAUGGCAGAACACGUGCCCGCCUUCAGGGUGCCCGGCACACACAUCCACAUUCUCACAUCCCCUGACCAAUUCUACCACACCAUGAAGGCCCGUAUCAAGACUGCUAAGAGGCGGGUGGUGAUGGCCUCCCUGUAUCUGGGUACAGGGCCGCUGGAACAGGAGCUGGUGGACUGUAUGCAGGAAGCUCUGGAGCGUUCACAGGAGGGUGACAACCCCGACCUGCAGGUCUCCAUUCUACUUGACUACACGCGUGGCUCACGAGGUAAGACUAACUCUAGGACCAUGUUAUUGCCGUUGCUGAAGCAGUACAGCAGUCAGAUGCGUGUAUCUUUGUACCAUACCCCUGACCUGAGAGGGCUGCUCCGGCUCCUGGUCCCACAGCGCUUCAACGAGACCAUCGGGGUACAGCACAUCAAAGCUUACUUGUUUGAUGACGACCUCAUCAUCAGCGGGGCCAACCUGAGUGACUCGUACUUCACCAACAGACAGGACCGCUACGUGCUCCUUGAGAACUGUGGGGAGGUGGCCGACUUCUUCUCUGAUCUGGUGGGCGCCGUGGGUGACGUGUCGUUACAGCUACAGACCGACAACUCUGUGAGCAUGAUGUACGGCAUGGUGCACCCCUACAGAGGCAACAGGGAUGAUUUUUCGGCGUCGGCUCGGCAACACAUCAUGGAGGUGGUCAACACUGCUCACGUGCGGCAACACAUCGCCGAAUCAGAACGUUUAGUGCGGGAGAGCGAGGGGGAGGAAGGAGGGAAGGAGGAUACUUGGGUUUUCCCUCUGGUUCAGAUGAAACCUCUGGGAAUACAGGUGGAUGAGCAGGUCACACAGCGUUUGCUGACUGAUGCAGGUCCCGGUGUGACGGUGUUUCUGACGUCGGGGUAUUUCAACCUGACCAGGGCCUACAUGUCGCUGGUUCUCGGGCUGGGUGCCGACUACCGGAUCCUCACCGCCUCCCCGGAGGUCAACGGGUUUUUCGGCGCCAAGGGCAUUGCCGGAGAGAUCCCAGCCGCCUACAUCCACAUUGCCAGACAGUUCUACAGCAAAGUGUGUCAGCUGGGACAGCAGGAGAGGGUUCACCUCCACGAGUACCACAGAGCACAAUGGACCUUCCAUGCCAAGGGGUUGUGGUACUACCUACGGGGGCAAGUGCGGCCAUGCCUGACACUGAUUGGGUCUCCUAACUUUGGCUAUCGCUCUGUGCACCGGGACCUGGAGGCCCAGAUCGCCAUAGUAACAGAGAACCAGGUACUACAGGCCCAGCUGCAGGAGGAGCAGGAGAUGUUGUACCAGAGGUCGACAGAGGUGUCCAGCUCUACGUUCCAGCAGCCAGACCGCCAUGUGAAACUGUGGGUCAAACUGCUUACUCCCCUCAUCAAGAACUUCUUCUGAGAGACACCGCCUAACACAGGCCACUUGAAGCCAUUCCAGCCCAGGACCUCCACAUCCGGCUUCUUCACCUGCAGAAUUGUCUGAGACCAGCUGAUGAAACUGAAGCAGACUGCGGCCAAUACCCACUUGGCAGGCUUCUCCUUGGUCUUGAGGUUGAAGGUCCAGAUGGUGGGGCCCCUCAUACAGGUCUUGUUGAUGGGACACUCCUCAUACACGUUCUUGGUCUCCUGGUGUUCCACCGGUACCACCUUGAUGAAGAUCGGCAUGUUGGGUGUCAGCUCCUUUAGACAAGCGUCCCCUAUCAUCCCCUUCUGGGUGUCCCAGCGCGCCCCUGCGCACACACACACACACACUGUAUAAAGGGUUGAACUCUAAACAUAGAAACAUUUGUCAUCACUCCAACCCCUGUGACAUCGCCACAUUGUGUGUUUGUACAGCACUGUAGAUAGACAAACAGAUCCCUUAGUUUAUCAAUGCUUGAAAUAUAGUACUGUUUUUACUGCUGCGUUUUCAUUGAAAUACAAACAUUCGCUACAUAUAGACCAGCAGGUGGAACUGUAGCACAGGAUGUUUUGUACAUUCAAUAAAUUCUCUUUCGUUCUGUAUUGACAGAGUGGAAUCUGGUACAUGAGUCUGUGACUAAAUAGCCGGGUGUGUGUCUGAGGGGGAAUACACUAACGUGUGUAUGUGUGAAGGUGACUAGACAAACAGGUGUGUACAGCUGUGUAUGGAGUAUUUGCGUCGUCAUGAUUAUUUGGCCGGUAAAACUUUGCUUCUUGAAAGUCCAAUAUCUUGAAAACUUGACUGCUGACAUGCAAAACAUUUUGGGACUGUAUCAACAGCGGACUAAUAAAUAAAAAAAUACCAAAAGA